RNAcentral lists this ribosomal RNA (425 nucleotides) under uncultured Clostridium sp. Its description in RNAcentral is "bacterial SSU rRNA". It matches the Rfam family "Bacterial small subunit ribosomal RNA", at positions 355 to 793 of the family's 1533-position model. The record is from RNAcentral. Lineage: Bacteria; Bacillati; Bacillota; Clostridia; Eubacteriales; Clostridiaceae.
UGGGGAAUAUUGGGCAAUGGGGCGAAAGCCUGACCCAGCAACGCCGCGUGAAGGAAGAAGGUUUUCGGAUUGUAAACUUCUUUUAUCAGGGACGAAGAAAGUGACGGUACCUGAUGAAUAAGCAACGGCUAACUACGUGCCAGCAGCCGCGGUAAUACGUAGGUUGCAAGCGUUGUCCGGAUUUACUGGGUGUAAAGGGCGUGUAGGCGGAGAUGCAAGUCGGGAGUGAAAUCCAUGGGCUUAACCCAUGAACUGCUUUCGAAACUGUAUCCCUUGAGUAUCGGAGAGGCAAGCGGAAUUCCUAGUGUAGCGGUGAAAUGCGUAGAUAUUAGGAGGAACACCAGUGGCGAAGGCGGCUUGCUGGACGACAACUGACGCUGAGGCGCGAAAGCGUGGGGAGCAAACAGGAUUAGAUACCCUGGUAU